UACGUAGGGGGCUAGCGUUGUCCGGAAUCAUUGGGCGUAAAGCGCGUGUAGGCGGCCCGGUAAGUCCGCUGUGAAAGUCGGGGGCUCAACCCUCGGAUGCCGGUGGAUACUGUCGGGCUUGAGUACGGAAGAGGCGAGUGGAAUUCCUGGUGUAGCGGUGAAAUGCGUAGAUAUCGGGGGGAACACCAGUGGCGAAGGCGGCUCUCUGGGGUGCACCUGACGCUGAUGCGCGAAAGCGUGGGGAGCGAACCGG
RNAcentral lists this ribosomal RNA (253 nucleotides) under uncultured bacterium. RNAcentral's name for it is "partial 16S ribosomal RNA". It matches the Rfam family "Bacterial small subunit ribosomal RNA", at positions 524 to 776 of the family's 1533-position model. The record is from RNAcentral.